UACGGAGGGUGCAAACGUUGCUCGGAAUUAUUGGGCGUGAAGCGCACGUAGGCGGUCCGACAAGUCGGGAGUGAAAUCCCUCGGCUUAACCGAGGAAGUGCUUUCGAAACUAUCGGACUUGAAUACCGGAGAGGGUCGCGGAAUUCCCGGUGUAGAGGUGAAAUUCGUAGAUAUCGGGAGGAACACCAGUGGCGAAGGCGGCAUCCUGGACCGGCAUUGACGCUGAGUGAGCGAAAGCCAGGGGAGCAAACGGG
Molecule: ribosomal RNA, 254 nt
Filed under: uncultured bacterium
Lineage: Bacteria
Description: partial 16S ribosomal RNA
Rfam family: Bacterial small subunit ribosomal RNA
Source: RNAcentral